Molecule: long non-coding RNA, 2307 nt
Filed under: Vulpes vulpes (red fox)
Lineage: Eukaryota; Metazoa; Chordata; Mammalia; Carnivora; Canidae
Description: lncRNA (ENSVVUG00000025712.1)
Source: RNAcentral
GAUCCAGAAGACCUAAGUGGGACGGCACACAGAAGCACCUCUGCUGUUCCUUGUCUAGAAUGUGUUUCCGUGUGGGACGCACACGCCCCCCCCCCCCCAAAGCUACAGGGAGCCUGUUCACAAAUGUCCAGGGAUUUUACCAUAUGGUCGGGGCAGGUGCAUGGGGCCUCGCCUCUGCCACUGAUAAUACCCGUAGCAGCAGAAGGGCGCUUUCUCUAGGAGCCACAACCUGACCCGUGAUUGCAGACAGAUGAUUUGUGAAUUUUAGGAGAAGUAUCAAAGCUCGGCGAAAUCUGCAAACACCUCUGCUAACUCAGGACUUCCACAGGAUUUAUGGAUUGCCUUCAUAGGGAGAUUUCUCAGCUUCAGCACCGGGGAAAUGGAAACCCGCUUCAGGUGACAGAUCCCGGAGGCAGCCUGGAAAUCCAGCCCUCCACCCUCCACCAGCGCCUGUGGGGAUGCCGCUUCAGAAGAAAACAGAAAAUAAGCCAAGAAGUAUUCUCGAAACUGUAGAUAUCAUCCUAUUUCCCAUAUUAUUUCCCUAAAAGGAAGAGAGGAGGACAGAAAGGAACAGAAGAGGGGGCACCUACCCCUCACGGGGGUGAGGAUAUACUCCAGUUUGGGGCCGAGUGCCGUCUCACCCCUGUCUUGCCCCGGUUUCCAGUCCGAUUUGGCCCUUGGACCAGCCGCUGGGCUUUCCUGCCUCUGUGUCUCCCUCCAUAACGUGAAGGUGCUGUUGAUGCCUCCCUCACUAGGCGCUCAGGGUCCUAAGUGAUCACCCUCACCAGCCUGUGCGUGUACAACCACCCGAGCCGGCAUCCGCUCCCAUGCGCCGGCACUCGCCGACCAGUUAGGGCGGGCGAACAGCACAUGAGUCCUGCUGGUAUGAUGCUCACUGUCCCCCCCCCCCCCAAAUUAAACCCAGCAUGCUAAUGAGUAAUGGUCUUUAAAAAGAAAGAGGCUUUCUUCUGGUUUUUGUUUUGGGGAUUUUUCUUUUUUUAAGAGAAACACUUUCCCAAAGCUGUGUUCAGGUUACACAGAAUACCCACUGAUCUUUCAAGUUGAAAAGGCAGGCACAGCGUCUCGGUGGUGGUGGAGAAUAUGCUCCGUCUUCCUCUUUGAACACAAUAACAUCACACUCAGCUCGCAGGGAAUCAGACCUCAUGCGCGGACACCUCUGCACGCAAAUACGCGGAGAUGGCUAUAAUGUGCCGAGGGAGGAAACGCGGCCAGACUUCAGGGAAACUCGCUGAACACGCUCCGGCAACAUAGUGUGGAGUGUUUUUUAAUGUUUUAUUAAGAGUGUGAAGGCCAAACCAGAGGGAGGAGGGAAGGAGGCGUUUGAAAUCCGUCCAGAUUAAGUUUCCACUGCUGGGGUGAGCCUUCGUAAUUGGGGACUCAAACAGUCCCGCCCCUGGGAAGGUGAUGCUCCCAGACCCCACACAAUAUCCACAGCCGAGGCAGACUUCUCCAAAGUCCCAGAGUUUCGCUUUGUUAUUAGAAGACCUUUUUUUUUUUUUUUUUUUUUUUUUUUUUUUUUGCAGGGCGGAGGGUGGAUACCAAGCUCGCAUCCAGAGGGCUUCAGGUUAAAUACCCUCUUCCACUGCACACGAAGGGACUGCUGCCAUCGGUGCCUUCAAGGAGCACUGUGAUGAUGGAUGAGAUGCACUCAGGUGCUCUCUGACGACUGGUGGUCUCUCCCAACAGAUGUCCUCAAAGGGAGCACUUUAUGGCGUGUGGGGGAAUAUUUGCACUAAAAGAGAGAGAGAGAGAGAGAGAGAGAGAAGAAAAAAGAGAGAGAAACAGAAACAAACCCACUUAAAAACCCAUCCUAACAAUGUUUCAGUAUUUUAGGCAGAACUACAAAGUUAUCAACCCUGACAGAUGAUCAAUCAGCUCCUGCUUUGAAAGGUGGGUGCCGGUGAUUAUGAGGCGCAGGUGCCGACUUUGAUCAGAAGAGACAAGCGCUGGGGCUGCUGCCGGUUCUCCUCCCCUGCUCACCCCCAGGGCAGAGCAGCACCUGUUUACCUCCCAGGCCCGCCCUCUCAUAAAACACUUGGAUUUUGCUGGCUUUGAGCAAGAUUUUUCAUUUGCAAAUGGCUUUUCUUCCUACCGCUCAUCUGGAGCAAUAUUACCAGCCUUGUGUCAAUACCAUCUAGGUGUCCUUGGAUUUCAGGCCAUAGCAGAAGGCUUAAAUUCAGAAAAAGUUCAGGCCAGCUGAAACGUGCUGUUUUUUGUGUCUUUUUUUUUUCUUCUUAAAGGGACUUUGUUAAGUAUUGGGAAAAUAAAUGCCAUUCUGCUCUUCCA